RNAcentral lists this long non-coding RNA (1782 nucleotides) under Macaca fascicularis (crab-eating macaque). RNAcentral describes it as "lncRNA (ENSMFAG00000062224.1)". The record is from RNAcentral. Lineage: Eukaryota; Metazoa; Chordata; Mammalia; Primates; Cercopithecidae.
UGCUCUAGCCUGGGUGAUACAGCCAGACUCUAUCUCAAAAAAUAAAAUUAUUUUUGUAACAGAGAAGUCAGGGCUCUGUACCAUCUCUUACUAGGGUGGAAUCUAACAUGCAGAAAUAUAGCACAGCAUAAUCAUACUGUUCUUCAACACUGUCAACAAUUCCCUGACCCAAACUUCAUACACCUUAUUAGUUUUAAAAAAAGAAAAAGUCCUACUCAGAAUGCUGAUAGUAUCACUGCCAAAAACAGAGACUAUCUAGGAACUAAUACCUAAGUCACUUUCCCACAGCUGCCCAAGGACAUAUUCCUCAGUCCUCUUGGUAUCCAUCAGCAUGGACAAUGGAACCUGUGUGCUUUGAUGUCCCUGGUUUUUGAGAUUCUUGAAGAGUUUGAGUUCUAAAUGUGUCUGGGGCUUUCUGGAGUUGAGCAUCAAGAUGUGGAGAUCCUGGAUGACACACAACUGUAAUAGCUAGAAAACAAAGAAAAUUUAUUACAAAACAAUUCUAUAUUGUGUACUGAGCUGUCCAGGUAGAAAACAGUGGUAACCCAGAUGAUGACUUGGGCUAGAACUCAUGACUAUUUUAUUGGCGAUUCAAGGCCUCAGAGCCCUGGAUGUUAGCAUGUAGGCCCACAACCUCGAAGUACAGAGUAUGUGAAGCACAUGUAGGCUCCUAAAAGACAACCACAACCAGGCACAAGCUGGUGCUGUUAUUAAGGACAACUGGAAGCCACCUUUAUUUGCCAUGAUCGUCCUACACCUGGUCUAGGACUUACCCUAGUCUUCUCUUCCAUUUCUUUAACCACCCAUAAAAGGAUUUCCAUUUUCUUGAUCACUGACUUGACUCAGGCUUCUUUCUCUUUCGAUUCUCUCUGUUCCUGUGCUACUCAGAUGUGGAGGGUCAACUGGGAAACUUCAGUGUACUGCUGCUCAAAACAAGGCCUCUUCCUGAGCAUUUUGGGAGUAUCAACACCACUGGGAUUUAGUUCUAGAGCUUUCAAUGUGAGAAGUUUCUGGAAUAUCAGAAACAAAUAUCAAAUUUCAGAAGCCAAUUUUCUCUAAUUAAUGUGAGCUAUCUAUGAGGAAAGACUUUUAAAAGAAAUUUAACUUCUAGAACAAUGUGGGAUUUAUUUUUAAAAAAGAAAUUGUAUUCUCUAAAUUGUAUCUUUCUGAGGUUUUUUGUUUAAAUUUCUUUAUUUCUGAGGAAAUGAAUUUCUUCAUCCCAAAUGUUUCAAUUCUAUUUAAUUUAAAGUAGGUAACUGGCAGUGUUGAAGUUUCAUUGUCUAUGUUUGUUAUGAAAAAGGGUAUUGCAUAUUUUACUGCAAUUUUAAAAAAGAAUAUAUUUCUGAACAUCAGUGAAAAUGGUAGAGAAUGAACCUCCGAAAAAUCUCUUCUUCAGGAAAGCAAUGAGGAAACUGAGAGAAAUUGUCAAAAUCAACUGUUUCAGAACUCUGAAAUUUAAACAAAGGUGUGCAUCAACUUAGGGAGAAUUUAUUGAGGAAAAACGGUCUGACUCUUGGUUAAAAACGGUGGUUUUUGUGGCGUUUUAACUGGCCUAUUUCCAUCUGCAUCUCUCUAGCCUCUUAGAAGCCUUUAAAAUUAACAAUUUACAAUCACAGUGAAAAUCAGCAACAGACCAGAAGAAUUGCUAUUAUUUGAUCUGUUUGUUGGCUCCCUGGAGGACUCCACUUGCAAGGCUGUCUUUAACUGCCUUCAAUCAGAGCUUGUCUAGUGCAAAAAGUCUGGGUGACAGAGCAAGACCCUGUGUCGGAAAAAAAAAAAAAA